Molecule: ribosomal RNA, 650 nt
Filed under: uncultured bacterium
Lineage: Bacteria
Description: bacterial SSU rRNA
Rfam family: Bacterial small subunit ribosomal RNA
Source: RNAcentral
UCAGGCCUAACACAUGCAAGUCGAGCGGAAACGAGUUAACUGAACCUUCGGGGAACGUUAACGGCGUCGAGCGGCGGACGGGUGAGUAAUGCCCGGGAAAUUGCCCUGAAGUGGGGGAUAACCAUUGGAAACGAUGGCUAAUACCGCAUAAUAGCUUCGGCUCAAAGAGGGGGACCUUCGGGCCUCUCGCGUCAGGAUAUGCCCAGGUGGGAUUAGCUAGUUGGUGAGGUAAGGGCUCACCAAGGCGACGAUCCCUAGCUGGUCUGAGAGGAUGAUCAGCCACACUGGAACUGAGACACGGUCCAGACUCCUACGGGAGGCAGCAGUGGGGAAUAUUGCACAAUGGGCGCAAGCCUGAUGCAGCCAUGCCGCGUGUAUGAAGAAGGCCUUCGGGUUGUAAAGUACUUUCAGCAGUGAGGAAGGUGGUAGUGUUAAUAGCACUAUCAUUUGACGUUAGCUGCAGAAGAAGCGCCGGCUAACUCCGUGCCAGCAGCCGCGGUAAUACGGAGGGUGCGAGCGUUAAUCGGAAUUACUGGGCGUAAAGCGCAUGCAGGUGGUUUGUUAAGUCAGAUGUGAAAGCCCGGGGCUCAACCUCGGAAUUGCAUUUGAAACUGGCAGACUAGAGUACUGUAGAGGGGGGUAGAAUUUCA